GACGUAGGGCGCGAGCGUUGUCCGGAUUUAUUGGGCGUAAAGAGCUCGUAGGCGGCUUGUCGCGUCGUCCGUGAAAACCUGGGGCUCAACCCCAGGCUUGCGGUCGAUACGGGCAGGCUAGAGUUCGGUAGGGGAGACUGGAAUUCCUGGUGUAGCGGUGAAAUGCGCAGAUAUCAGGAGGAACACCGGUGGCGAAGGCGGGUCUCUGGGCCUAUACUGACGCUGAGGAGCGAAAGCGUGGGGAGCGAACAGG
Molecule: ribosomal RNA, 253 nt
Filed under: uncultured bacterium
Lineage: Bacteria
Description: partial 16S ribosomal RNA
Rfam family: Bacterial small subunit ribosomal RNA
Source: RNAcentral